This 224-nucleotide long non-coding RNA is filed under the name Drosophila guanche. Lineage: Eukaryota; Metazoa; Arthropoda; Insecta; Diptera; Drosophilidae. The record is from RNAcentral.
GCCAAAGCCUGUUACGCGCGGAACCUAGCAGAACGCAGCCCUCCUCCCGCCCAACCGACCGAGGGGCACUGCCGCAUGACGCGCGGCGCGAUUAACCGAACCGGUCGCGAGCAUGCAGGAAAGAUGGAUGUUAGGCUAAUAUUCGAGGAAAAUUAAAUCUAAUCAUAACUAGACUAAGCUAAGCUAUAGCUAAGCAAGCAGAAAUUACCAAAAUCAGAAACAAG